GAGAGUUAAACAGUACGUGAAAUUGUUGAAAUGGAAACGAUUGAAGUCAGUCAUACCAACGGGAAAUCAACCUCUUGAGUUUGGUCUCGUGGGUUUCGAAGAGUUUAAAAGCCUUCGGAUUUUCGAGAUUGGGCUCUUCUGGUGUACUUUCUCGUACGGUUAGUCAACAUCGGUUUUGAAUGUCAUAAAAUGACUGGAGGAAUGUGGCUUCGAUCUCGUAUUGAAGUGUUAUAGCCUUUGGUAGAUGUGAUGUUCGAGACCGAGGAUUGCAACGGAUACCCUUCUGGGCUAUUCGUCUGAUCUCUGAAACGUUGCCUUGAUGUCGAAAGCUUGCUUAUGAUGUUAAGGGUAUUACGGUCAAAAGGUUAGAACGGAUUAAAUUCGUUAAGGAUGUUGACGUAAUGACUUUAAACGA
RNAcentral lists this ribosomal RNA (415 nucleotides) under uncultured Funneliformis. RNAcentral's name for it is "partial 28S ribosomal RNA". The record is from RNAcentral. Lineage: Eukaryota; Fungi; Glomeromycota; Glomeromycetes; Glomerales; Glomeraceae.